CCUACGGGAGGCAGCAGUGGGGAAUAUUGCACAAUGGGGGAAACCCUGAUGCAGCGACGCCGCGUGAGUGAAGAAGUAAUUCGGUAUGUAAAGCUCUAUCAGCAGGGAAGAAAAUGCGGGUACCCGUUCACGAAGCAGUGUCUAACUACGAGACAGCUGCCCCGGUUAUGCGGAGGGGGCCGGCGUUAUCCGGAGUUACUGGGUGUAAAGGGAGUGUAGACGGGACAACAAGUGUGGAGGGAACUGCCGGGGCUUAACCCCGGAACUGCUUUGGAAACUGGGGAGCUAGAGUGAAGGAGAGGUAAGUGGAAUGCCUGGUGUAGCGGUGAAAUGCGUAGAUAUUAGGAGGAACACCGGUGGCGAAGGCGGCUUACUGGACCGUAACUGACGUUGAGGCUCGAAAGCGUGGGGAGCAAACAGGAUUAGAUACCCCUGUAGUC
RNAcentral lists this ribosomal RNA (440 nucleotides) under uncultured bacterium. Its description in RNAcentral is "partial 16S ribosomal RNA". It matches the Rfam family "Bacterial small subunit ribosomal RNA", at positions 338 to 795 of the family's 1533-position model. The record is from RNAcentral.